UAACUUCAGUGGAGUUGGCCUUUAUUCAGAAAAUAUGUUGGCAUCAGCUCGCGACCCUCUAAAUACUCGUCGUCUGAAACUAGUUAGCAGGAGCGCCGAGGCCUUGUCGACCCUGCAGAAAGACAGAAAUCUCAGAUGGAAAUUUCAAACCUGGGCAAUGGAAACCAAAACUACAGUAUCCGGGUGGCUACAUACCAUCACAGAGAGAGAAUUUCAUCUCACCUCGUCCGCUCCUGCCCACAAAGCGCAGAUCGUUGAAGCGGGCCACCUGGUUCUUCAUCACGGCAGAGGCGUUCCUCAGCUCGGCCGAGUAGUUCUCGUCGUUCCCGGCCAUCACGGUGACCAGAGUCCCGUCGGGGACAUCACCGAGAGCCACGACCUGCACCGAGGAAAACGACCGGUCACUCUGGGUCACCAAACGAAAUAUAGGCUGCACAAUGCACGCGUAAAACCGCAUCUGACUCCCAUAUUAUUAGGGAUAUUAUUAUAAUUUUGCCGUCAUGUCCAUAAAAAAAUAUUACACAUCAUUUAAAGACUCUAAUCCAAUGUAGGGCCGUGCCAUUUAUAUAUUUAUGUUAUU
Long non-coding RNA from Eleginops maclovinus (Patagonian blennie), 580 nucleotides. RefSeq lists it as uncharacterized. The transcript is spliced from 3 exons. The record is from RefSeq and is a predicted model, not a curated record. Lineage: Eukaryota; Metazoa; Chordata; Actinopteri; Perciformes; Eleginopidae.